Long non-coding RNA from Drosophila arizonae, 933 nucleotides. The record is from RefSeq and is a predicted model, not a curated record. NCBI's taxonomy places the organism in Eukaryota, Metazoa, Arthropoda, Insecta, Diptera, Drosophilidae.
UUCUAAAAUCACAUCACUUAAUCCACACCAUAAGCAUGCAGGCAGCCACCCUUGUAAUGUUAAACUCAAUUGCCAAUUCAAACACUUCACUCUCAUACACACACACUCACACACACAUAAGCGCACACAAUUUAAAGAGCAAAAUGUCCAGCUAAUGAUAGGCUAACGCUCAAUCAACGAUAAAACUAAAUUGUGGCACACGCGCCUCCAAAGCUCCGAGGCGCAGCUAUUUAUAGCUCAGCUGCCAGUGCGAGUGCGAAUGUGAGUGCGGGUUCGCCUAUCAGCUGCAGUCUCAAUGCACGUUCAAUUAAAAAAGAGCAACAACAAUAACAACAACAGAAAGAACAAGAAUAGAGUCUUGCAGAAGGUGCAGCGAACGCAAACUCACCUGGCCACUAAACACGCAUCGUUGAGAGACACACAGCCUGCAAAACUCACCACAGCGUUCCAACCUGCCUCAAGCAGCCUAACAUCACGUUAGCGCUGGCGUCAUCUACCUUUUGGCUAGCCAAGGUGGCUACGCAUUACGUUACGUUACAUUACGUUACGUUUGCUCGCUUCUCACUUGUGCCUCUUGCACAUUUGUCGCUGCGCCGACGUCUUCUUCUUUGCCGCCGUGGUGUAUUGUUGCUUUGACGAUUUUGGCGCUUCGUGGGGCCCACAAGCCGCACGACAAUAUUUGUGGCUUUCAGUUGCUAGCCGAACGCGCUUAUGUGUGGACGUGUGUUUCGGAGAGAGUUGAAGUCGUGUGUAACACUCUAACGGAUAUUCGAGCUGCCGCUCAGCUGCGCGCGUCGCGCUCUCGUCUGUGUGUUCGUCUUAACGCGUGUGUUUGUUUGUGUAUAUUUAUUGUUGUUGCUACCAUUGGCAACAGCGUUUAUUAAGUAUUUAAACUGCAUUAGUGGCUAAGCAAAUUGCAACAGAGAGAGAUAG